RNAcentral lists this ribosomal RNA (407 nucleotides) under uncultured bacterium. Its description in RNAcentral is "partial 16S ribosomal RNA". It matches the Rfam family "Bacterial small subunit ribosomal RNA", at positions 30 to 526 of the family's 1533-position model. The record is from RNAcentral.
AUUGAACGCUGGCGGCAGGCCUAAUACAUGCAAGUCGAGCGGAGCGGCGGACGGGUGAGUACUGCCUAGGAAUCUGCCUGGUAGUGGGGGAUAACGUCCGGAAACGGGCGCUAAUACCGCAUACUAUCAGAUGAGCCUCGGUCGGAUUAGCUAGUUGGUGGGGUAAAGGCCUACCAAGGCGACAAUCCGUAACUGGUCUGAGAGGAUGAUCAGUCACACUGGAACUGGGACACGGUCCAGACUCCUACGGGAGGCAGCAGUGGGGAAUAUUGGACAAUGGACGAAAGCCUGACCCAGCAAUGCCGCGUGUGUGAAGAAGGUCUUCGGAUUGUAAAGCACUUUAAGUUGGGAGGCGUUACCAACAGAAUAAGCACCGGCUAACUUCGUGCCAGCCGCCGCGGUAAUUC